This 67-nucleotide transfer RNA is filed under the name Mancinella alouina. RNAcentral describes it as "tRNA-Asn". The record is from RNAcentral. Lineage: Eukaryota; Metazoa; Mollusca; Gastropoda; Neogastropoda; Muricidae.
UAAAUGAAAGCCAAAGAAGAGGCACCUACCUGUUAACUAGGAGAAUGUAAUAAUCUUACUCAUUUAG